RNAcentral lists this ribosomal RNA (253 nucleotides) under uncultured bacterium. RNAcentral's name for it is "partial 16S ribosomal RNA". It matches the Rfam family "Bacterial small subunit ribosomal RNA", at positions 524 to 776 of the family's 1533-position model. The record is from RNAcentral.
UACGGGGGGGGCAAGCGUUGUUCGGAAUUACUGGGCGUAAAGGGCGCGUAGGUGGCCAAGUAAGUCAGACGUGAAAUCCCUCGGCUUAACCGGGGAACUGCGUCUGAUACUGGAUGGCUUGAGUAUGGGAGAGGGAUGUAGAAUUCCAGGUGUAGCGGUGAAAUGCGUAGAUAUCUGGAGGAAUACCGGUGGCGAAGGCGGCAUCCUGGACCAUUACUGACGCUGAGGCGCGAAAGCUAGGGGAGCAAACGGG